RNAcentral lists this long non-coding RNA (2611 nucleotides) under Mizuhopecten yessoensis (Yesso scallop). Its description in RNAcentral is "uncharacterized LOC110459772". Lineage: Eukaryota; Metazoa; Mollusca; Bivalvia; Pectinida; Pectinidae. The record is from RNAcentral.
GUGUCCCCCUUGGCACCCGUCGGGGCGUUAAACCCAAAGCAAACCAAAAAAAUAUAAUGUGACGAUUUUGUUACCACUGAUUUUGGAUAUUUUAAUCUGUAAUUUGUUAAAGUUUAGUUUGAUGUCUAUUUUUACAUUUUUUUAAGCUCGGAAUAUUUUGUAGGAUUGAUAGGUGAUAACAUAAAACAAGAAAUGUAAACCCUUUUUUUCGGUUCUUUGUUUUGGUACUGUUUUGCUGCUCGCCAUCACCGAUUUGAGAGUUAAUGGAAACAAUCACUGACUAUUCUUUGCUCUUGGCCCGGCACUUCUAUUCACUGCGACUACUCUAUUACUCUAUAACAUUAUAGUUAGUCAGGCUUCCUCUCGGGGAAGUAUGAUUGAAGUAUUGGAGUUCCAUUGUAAAUUUCGUUAUAAAAAGGUCUUCACAAACGACAUGUUCUCGGUUGAAACACCGAACGUAAAAUGCCAAAAUAGAUAAAAAAAAAAUACUCUGAAAAUUUGUUUUCAAAUAAUCGGUUUGAACACGACAUUUAAGUUUUAUCCUUGUAUCCUUAUAGAAGUGGAAUUGCUUCAUUUAUUUCUUUUUUACAUCAGGACUUGUCCGUAGAUCGUGAAGACUUCACGUUCAGUGAUACAUGUCAGGAGUCGGAUAGGUUUAUUCCUGGAUUUGGAGAGGGAGUAGCGUGCGCAUGGAACUACGAUCGGAAACCCUGGUAUAAUUGCAGUCUUCCCGGGUUCUUUGUUAUCAACAUGAACGGUACCGGUCUUGUGGUAGACAGAGACCUUACCUGGGACUAUCGAACUUAUCAAAGUGUGACAGGAGAAGACACGUUCACCAGGUCUCCAGACGGAUUAAAAAUAACGGCCUUCGUUGACGGUUAUUGUGCUGAAGUGGUGCCUAAUGCAACUAUGUACCUGAAACACGAUCGUGAACUCGAAGUGUGGGGAAGCGCAACCGAGCCUGUUUGUUCUUCUCCAUAACCCGUUCACUAAAUGUGGUUGAUGUAGCGCAAGCUAGAAGAUCAAAGUUCCAGAGAACCGGGGCAAAGAUUUCACUGUAAUACGUUAUACAAUGUUGAUAGCAGAAGAAUUUAACCCGAAAUCAUCUACCCCUGCAGAUUCUGGAAAAGAAAGGACCUGCUAUGUCCAACUAUAUUUUGUAAGUGGCAACAAAUAUGGGGCCCCGACAGAGUCGGUUGUUUUUCUAUGCCUCUGUUUUUUUGGGGUUUUUUUCAAUUCAAAAGAAUUGAUAACAACACGGAUGUUAUAACAUUGUUACAAAGACAUAAAUAUUAACAGCAUGGUGAUAAGUGACUAGAAAAGCACGUUUUUCAGUUGUUUCCUUAUAAAUAUUAUAACAAAACGGAAUGUAAAUUAGGCAAUUAAUGAUGCAGAUUGGAACCAUCUUAUGACUUUUAAGAUAGUGUGUAUCAAUAGAGAGCAUCACUUUGAUCAAAGUACGUUUGAGGUCAAAUCUUAUGUUUUGGGUAACACCGUGCAGUGACUUACAGGGAGUCUGUUUAAUAGUGGAAAGUGUUAUUGGGCUAUACAUCUAGUUACGACCAGAUUCGGCAUGAAUGACAUAGAGAUAGGAACGAAAGUGUGAACUCCCGAAACCAGAUAGGGGUAACUGUCAUUGCCAUAUGGUACAUCUAGCAUUUCUGUUGUGGUAAGGGAAAGUUAAAUGAAAUUGUCGCACGUGCCUAAUUAUAUAUGUACAAGGGGUGGUACGGUAUUAUGAAGAGUUAACGUUGUACAGAUUCAUGAAAGUACUUGGGGAAGAUUUAAGAAGAAGUCCGGAGUUCAGAGUCUAGAGUUGAGAGUCAGGAUUCGAGGUUCGGAAAUGUGAGCCUUUAGAGAGAGAGCCGGUCCAGGGAAUGCCUCGCGCAGGGAUGGCCCGGAUCCAGCACUUGGUGUGCUUUAGAACUAUAUGUGUUUGAUGUGGUAACUGUAUAUAAUAUGUGCGCAUGGAGAUUUGUCGUCGUGUUGUGGUAGAAAAGACAUUUGUCACAUUUAAGAAAUAUCUUACAAAGUGGACCUACUCGAGGUAUGGACCCUGACUGUCGCAGGCACAAUGUGCAGUUAAUAAAAUUUUAAGCCCAAAUGUGUUUGUCAACGUGUUAUGUAACACAUGGGAGGAUUUCGUACCCCAGUGAACAGGAUUUCGAACGGGUUAUCCUGUCACCUUUCGCAAGUUUGACAACAGUAAUGUUUGUAGGACUACCAGUGUGUACCAUUCACUGUUACAGUGUAAUUAAAUGUGCUAUAGACAGCAUAUAUUUUUGCAGAAGUCACCUGCAGAUUUAGGAAUUUAUAACCUCUUCUUUGUCGAUGAGUCGUUAUCGAUGUAAUCAUUCAUGUACACUUCGAUACUCGUUCGUUUGUGUCUCCAUACGCACACAUCUUCAUAUGAUUUUGGCUAUUUCAAUGUUAAAUCACACAAUAACAAUAUAUACUGUUAACAUUGUAACAGAUUUAUGUUUUCUUUCCAGUGAGCCAUUUUUAAGGUGUAGUUUAUCGUCUUGUAACGUUGAUUUUGUUUCCAUUAAAAUUAUGCAAUAUAGUAUCGGAACAUUAUUGUUGUAUAAUUGUUAUUAUGAGUGCUGUUCAG